AUCCAACUAACGAGUCCCAAAUAGGACGAUAUGCGCUUCCUGAAU
This 45-nucleotide non-coding RNA is filed under the name Schistosoma haematobium. The record is from RNAcentral. Lineage: Eukaryota; Metazoa; Platyhelminthes; Trematoda; Strigeidida; Schistosomatidae.